UGCUUUGGGAGAACAUGGGCUAUCUUUUUCUUCUUCUCUCUUUUUUUUAAGGUGGGUAGUAGAUACCCCUAAUUCUACUGUCGGACACUUGUCCAUUUUUUCCGCUCAAGUGGGCAUCUUUGUACCCCUAAUUUUACUCUGGACACUUGUCCAUUUUUACCUCUCGUCUCACUCUUUUUCUUUCUUUUUCGAGGUUCCGGGCACUUGCCCCUUUUUAUUUCCUCGUAUAUUUUUGCAUAACCCAUGCCUCUUCUGCAUUAAAUCUUUUUAGAGAGAGAAUAACAAUAUUCGGGACAGUGAGUGAUUAUAUUUUUAGCAAUUUUAAUGAUUGGUGAUGAAUGCUGUGGUAGAUGUGUGCAAGUGAAUAUCUUAAUUUAACCACAUGAAAAGCUCCUAAGGGUCUACACAGCUCGAUUAAACUCAAUGUGAAUAUAGUAAAAGAUGUUAUAGCAAGUAUGGCUGUGGUAGGUAGUUUUGUUAUGCUAGGAACUCAUCAUGUGAUUUGUAAGUUUUCAAAAUAAAUCUCCAGAACUUAGUGUAGUAGGGAUAAGAUAAACAGUAGCUCAACUUUAUAUCAUGUCUUUCUUUUACCUAGACUUUAGUUUUAUGCUUCCCAAAGAUAGUAAUUUUAGUUUUAGCAAUUCCUGGAAGAAUUCUAAUAUAAAAGCUAGGUACUUGUAAGUAAGCAAAUAGAGCAACUGUUCAUCAUUUCCAUCAUGCAUAUUUUUGGUCUUUUUAUUUUUUCUAGAGAUUGAACUUAGCAGGUAAAUAAAGCACACUUAUCUACACACUCUUUUUAUUUUGUUUUCAUGUUUAUAAAGUGCAGUAAAUUAAAGCAAGAAAAUAUUUAUUUGGUUUUCUAAGUUUUUUUCCUUUUAAGAUAAAUUAAAUACUAAGACAGAAUAGAAUAAAUAAGAAGAGCAAAUAGAAACUUACUUGAUAAAUUGGGGAGAAACUCCCCCAAGCUGGAUGUUGACGUCGGUCUUACCCGAUGUUCCAGAACCGCAUCAUGGUUGUGAUGUUGUCGUUCAUUGUUGUUGUAUCUUGUCUCAGCUCUUCUACUGCAGCUGCAUGGUCCUGGUUCCAUUUUUGUUGCUCUUCCAGGAGUCUUCCAUGUUUUGCUUGCGUGUUCUGGAUGUCGAGGAGGGUGUUGUCGGUACGAGUGAAGAAAGCACCGGCCUCUUGGUAAUAGUCAUUCAUGAAGGCGUAGGAGGCGUCGGAGUAUCGUCCUGCAUCAACUUGGGGUGGAGGUCUGGAUCCUGAAGCUCCAUAUGGAUCAGUGGAGUACCUGCCCGUGUGAAAAGGCGGAUUUGUCCACUGGUGAUCUUGUCUCUCCGGCCAUGUCUCCUCUGUUGGCUCUUGUGGUUGCGCAUGACGAGCCCAUGGGUCUCGAAGGACUCGUGGAUUGUAAUCGCAAUAAUGCAGGUGCGCUGCUUCUUCUGGUCCAGGGUCAGCUCCAUACCAAGUGCGUUCUUGGUGAGUGGUUAUCCUUUCAGAUGCCACUCGCUGUGGAGUUCUCUGGUUUACUGGUGUUGCUGCAAUUUCAAUCAAAAAGUUUUGCACAGAGUAGAGGCCAAGGUUCGGGUUAGGUAACCGAAUCUUGCCUUUAUCAUCAUACAGCAUAUACAUUAUGUUCCCCUCUUUCUUUAACAUCCGAGCUUGUCUAAAUGUGUCAUAGCCAUGAUAAAUUCUUAAUUCUUCUAUGAAGUCUAACGAUGAAUUUUCUAGUAAGUGAAGAUUAGAGGCUAGACGAGUGAUAAGUGAAGUACAUCCUACUGGUCCCUGAAGACUAGGUAUACUAAGCCAAUAUGAAACUAAUAGUGUAACAGGUGAAGUGGGUACUUUACUAAUAGCAGCAUAUAAAAGUUGUAAAUCUCCUACUCUUACUUUCCUAAUAUCAUCACGAUAGAAAAGAUUGUACCCAAGCCAUUUGUGAAACAUCCUAAGAGUGGGGUGUUCCAUGUCACUGGUUCGGGCUUGACUAUAAAAAUUAUCUCUAGAUAUUUCUCUCCAAAACUGGUGUCUCUCAAAAUUGGGUAAAUCGGAGUCAAUGUUCAGGAUGCAUCUUGAAGAGAAACCAAGAUGGUCGCUCAGCUCUCUCCAGGAUAACAUAAUUUCUUGUUUGAACAUCCGAAAAACAAUUCCCCCCGCAUAGUAUUGUAAGGUGCAAAGAAAUUCGAGGGUGAGAAGACGAGAACCCAGUUCGGUUAUAUUCCAAAAAUUUGUCCAACACAUCAUUUGAAAAAUUAAGUCAAAUUCAGUGUCCAUACCUGUUUCUCGUAGUAGGAUUGGAUCGAUAGUAGGGGUGUGAAUGAAAUCUUUGUUCUUCAGUUGCUGAUAGACUUCCUUCUCUCUUUGGGUCUUUAGUCCAAGGUCUCCUAUCUUGAGAAGGACCUUGACUUGCUGGCCUGAUGAAGAUGAUGGAGCUUGUGUGGGUGUCGGGUCGACGCUCAUCUCUGAUGGCUGUGAGGAGUGUCGGGCUGAACUCCUUGUACCAAUGUUCUUGAGAGCCUUCCCUGCAUUCUUCACCUUCUUUAACAUCCUGCAAACAAAAGUUGGCAAAAAUACAACUGGUGGAAAAUGUGAGAUAAAAUGUUAGUAGUCAGCCGUCCGGAGUGUCAGUAGUCCAGGGGUUAAUCGUUCAAGACAAGUUUCUAUUUUGGUAGAGCCUCCCCCUAAACACCUUUUACUUUCGCUUAGACAACUACUUACUAGGUGAUAAUCACUCUCUCAAAAGAACUCCAACCUUCCCUUCCACUCUCCUCUUUCUCUCUACUCUCUUCUCUUCACUACAAAAGCUCCUUCUCGGGAGACUGAGAUUUAUGUGGUUUUCUGAAGUGUUUGUGUGAAGAGAAGGGAAGCUGGAGGUGGCCUUUUAUAAGCUGAGCAGGGGACAGGUCGGGCGCCCAAGGUAGGUGGGCGGGCGCCCACCCCUGGUGUCCAUCCUAGGUGUGCCUCCUCCACUUGCUUCCUUGCUUUGAUCUCACACAGAAUAAUAUUGUGUUGGUAGUGGUUGGACGGUGGAAAGGUGUGAAGUGAGUGGAAACAUAUUGGUGGAUGAAAUUAUAUGAUGGGAUGUAUGUGAGGUGAAGUGUAUGACAUGUGGGACCCAAGGAGUGUGGGUCAUGCUUCUAGAAGAUCAAUAUAAAUAAAUAUAAUGCAAGAAAAUCUAUGAGAAUUGAAACUUAAUGAUAAUGGGAAAUAUUUUUGUGCCUCCAAAAUAAUUAAUAAAUAUGGGUUGUUACACACCACGAAUAUUAUUUAUAUGGGGCUUUUUGAUUAUUAUAAUUAUGCUAUGAAUGUAUGACUAAUGCAAGAAUUUAAAUAUGAGAAACUUAAUAAUGCGGGUAAAUACCAAUUUACCUCCCGGUGAGGGUUUGGGAUUUUUAGGUCCCCCAAGCUGGACCUCCAAAUCUUUUAAUCUUCUUAGUUACCUUCCUCCGGAGAUGGUGUCUUCAGUAGUUCUUCAUGAACUUCCUUCACUGUAGAGUCUUUCUCUGGUCUGGGUUUGAAUGUGAAGUGUUCUUCUUGACCGUUUAUGUUGAACUUGAUUUCUCCCUUCCCGACAUCAAUGUGGGCAUUGGCAGUGCUCAGAAAUGGCCUUCCAAGGAUGAUGGACACUUUCGAGUCAGGACUCAUGUCCAGUACUACGAAGUCUACUGGCACCAGGAAAUCUCUGAUCUUGACUGGAAUGUUCUCGGCGAUGCCCAACGGGUGUCGAACUGAUUGAUCCGCUAGUUGUAGGCACAUUGAUGUUGGUUCUAAGGUUGCAUGAUCAAGCUUUUUGUAGACUGAUGCUGGCAUCACACUGACACUUGCUCCGAGAUCACAAAGUGCAUUGUUGAAGUGUUGGUUUCCAAUCGAGCAAUCAAUAGUGGGGCAUCCUGGAUCUUCCUUCUUCUUUGGUGGUUUGUUGAGGAUGGCCGCACUACAUUCUUCUGUCAGCUUGAUAACCUCAGUGGUGGGCAGUGGUCUCUUCUUGUUAAGAAUAUCUCUGAUGUACUUUGCAUAUGUUGGUACCUGUAUGGCAUCGAGCAGAGGUAUGUUGACAUAUAAUUUCUGAAUGACCUCUACAAACUUACCAAACUGCUCAUCCGACUGCAGUCCUCUGUUUCUUCUAGGAAAUGGCAAAUAGUUGGUGUCGUAAAAAUCUUUCCUCAUUUCUCCAUUUCUUGGUAGUUGUAGCAGAUCUUCUGCUUCAACUGGGCUUUCUUCUUCUAUCACUGCUGGUUGCACUGGUGCUGAUGUUCUUUGUUUCUCUUUUGGGUAUGUUGGAUCUCUGGUGGCUUUGCCUCCUCUAGUAGUUAUAUUCUUUACCUGCUCAAGGUUAGUAGCAACAGGCAGUGCAGCAGCUAUCUUUAUUAAUUUAAGCUCUACCUUUUUAUUAAGAGUGUUUUGCUCAUCAAAGGCAGUUAGUAAAAAAUCCAUUUUAUUGUGUAUAUCUUUUAGAGACGAUUCAUUUGUAUCUAGCCUUUGUUUAACUUCGUCAUUAAUUUUGGUUUGUUGAGCAAUUAUCUCUUUUAAUGAAAGUUGCUUGAUAGUAUUACCUGAAUUCAUACCUUUGCUAUUGGGUUGACUCGAAGUUGGUUGAUAUUUGUAUGCUGUCUCAAUGGCCCUUUGAUCUUCUUUGAACUUGGCCCUCUGGUCAAUCCAAUGGAGCAAAUUUUCCAUCUUAGUUGAUAAUGCAUUUACUUCUUCUGGUAUUUCUUCAGUUUGAUGACAUUGUUGAGCUUUAUCUUGGAACCAGCUUUGAUUUUCUGCUAUCUUAUCCAAAAGUAUCUCUGCUUUUCCAGUUGUAAGCUCCAAGAAUGAUCCUUUAGCAGAUGCAUCUAGGCACUCACGAGUCUUAUGGGUUAAUCCAUGAUAGAAGGUCUGCAUAAGUAACCAUGUAGCCAUUCCAUGGUGAGGACAAUCUGAUAUGUAUCCUUGAAAACGCUCCCAUGCUUCUGAAAUGGCUUCUGUCUUCUGCUGUUGGAAACUGACAAUAUUUCCUCUUAAGGCAGUUGUUUUGCCUAUAGGGAAAAACUUUGAUAGAAAGGCAUCUGACAAGUUCGUCCAGUUGUUGAUGUUAUCUUGAUGAGUGUAGAACCACUUCCUCGCUUUCCCUUCUAGUGAGAAUGGAAAAAGGCGAAGUAGUAUGACGUCUUUGUCAACUCCGUUGAUGUUUAUUGUGCUUCCAAUUUCUAAGAAACUGCAAGUGUGCACUGGCAUCUUCAUGUGCAUUUCCACUGAAUUGUGUAGCUUGUACCAAAUUGAUGAGGCUUGACUUGAGCUCAAACUCGGGUAUUCCUUCUUCUACUGCAAAUCUUGGACCGGUUGGAAUGUUCUCAAGACUUGGAGCAGAGAAUUCUUGCAAGGUCUUGUGUGCCAUAGCUUCAACAAUUGGUAGCUAGCUUCUUCUUCUCUUGAUUGCUUUGGUUCUGAUGAUGAAGAGUUGAAUGUACCCAAAGUCAAUCCUGUUAUACCCUGUAUAAAAAUAUAAACAUAGAAAAACAACAGGGUGAACCUGCCAAAGCAGAGGUGCCUUGUUAUGAUUUCUCACUUAGUAGCUGUUUUAUGCAAUUAUUUCUCUAUAGUCUAGUCUAAUAUUUUAUAUGAAUAACCUUGACUCAUUUUCUGGCUUCCUUAAUAUUACCCUUUUGUUCCCUUUUAUGACUUAUUCCUGAGAUUCGUAUAAUUCCUAUAAGUUCCCCGGCAACGGCGCCAGAAAUGCUUGUUGACACUAGCUAACACCACUUAGAUACUAGGUUGUCAUCCCUAGCAUGGCGCCAGAGUGUACAAAGGUAUUUAUAAAUGUAAAGGCCCUUUAGAAAAUAAUCUAUUCUAUCCGCAAGCGCACAGAUAAAACACCUCAUUGUAGCAUUUCACCAGGAUAAGUAUUCCAGGUAUCGUUAUUUAUAAUUUUGCUCUAGGGAUCUAAGGAGAUGGAAUUAAAUCAAGGGACAAAAUCUAUCAUGGCAUAGACUAGAGAUAAACUUGCAAGAACAUGAUUACUAAUAAGAAAUUCGUCACAGAGUCACAUAUUUUAGCAGGGGGUAAACCAUAAAGAUAAUGAUAAUAAAGUAUAAGUUCAUGGGAUAAAGAGCACAGCGAUUAGAAAAUAGACUACUCCUCAUAUAUGUAGGUGAUGUCGGAUUAGCUAGAGAAUGGAUUCUAAGUUAUCUACUAACUACUAAGUCAUAAUCUACUCUAGUUAUCUACAAGAUCAUAUAUAGCAUAAAAGACUCUUCAUUCAUGUAUAAGGAACAUUGAUAAAGUAAAUCAGAACAUCGCAUGACUUACUCCACAAUACCGGUUCUGCAUGUCCUAUCAACGGAGGGUGGACUAUAUAAGAAUCAACGAAGCUGUCACUAUCGCGAACUACCACACGACUCGGCCAAUAGGAUACAUUUGCAGAUAAAUAACAUCUAAGCACCACGCUCACAUGUGAUCUAUCACCUAACUCCCUCGCGUCAAGAGCUAAGCGCUUUGCAAACUUAUACAUAAACUCAUUAUCAAUUAGAACUAUAUCAAAUAUAGAACUAGAGCAAACUAAGAGCAUAAUAAUUAGAGACAUAAUGCAAUUAGAACAAUAGAAUUAGAGAAAGAUAUGAAUAAUACCAAUCUUUAUUACCGAAGAUCCGAAUCCAGAGCGUAGUGCUCUACUUCUCUAAUUGCUAUCUAAUCAACCUCUAAACUUGAAGGAUUAGGGAGUAGCUAAUUCUAAUUCUCUGUGGGAGAGAGAUCUAAACCCUAACUUUGAUGGCUACCUCUGAAUAAUGAUUUCUCCUCUCUUCCUCCAGGGGCCAGGGGGUCUGGUUUUAUAGUCCCCUCAAGUGAACGUGAGCCAUUGGAUCAAACCGACAUAGAUUGUAUGGUUUAGAUUGAUCCUUUAGGUCGGUGGAGUCUUGUCCCGAAGCAGAGUCCUGAUUGGCCUCUUGGCCAGGGCGGGCGCCCAAGGGGGGUGGGCGGCCGCCCAGCUCCCGAGCCCGAUUCGCUUCCCGUUCGUUCUCGUGGCUUCUGGAUCCUUCUAGAUUGAGGAAAAUUGCGCGGCACGUAAUUAUCUCGUUGUAAACAUGACAUGUGGGCCUUCUCUCCAUAUUUUCUGAUAACUCCCUGCCGAAAUAGAUAAACACCAAAGCUCGUGGAAUUCUGUCAGAUAAAACCCUAAUUCUAGAUGUUUGUUUCAUAUUGAUCCUUUUUCAUGUUUAUUUGAUUAUUAAUUUUAGUACUUAAGGACCGUCAACAAACUCCCCCAAGCUUACCCUUUGCUCGUCCCUGAGCAAACAGCUAAACUCAGACGGAUCAGGAGUUGCUUCGAUGUUUUCUUUCCUGACAGGCACACAUGCUUUAACAUAAAAAUUCUUCCAGAUUAGAGUAAAGUUUUAUGGAGUUUAGUACCUACACUUAAAUCUGAAGUAAUCAAAACACAAAAUAGUUAAGUCAAGCACUAUCCCUCCUGUCUAUACUUCACCUUUGUUCCAGAGUUUUUUCAUAAGUUUUCAAAAUAAAACUUAGAGUUCUAGCAAUGAUUCUCUCAAGUCUCUCUAUAUGUGGUAUUUGUGGAUCCUUACCAUAAUAUCACUUACCUAUAGCUAAUGGAAUAUUUAAGUGGAGCUCAUAGGAGUGAUAAACAGCUCAUACAUAUGUUGUCUAAUCGAGCCAUGGAUCCAAAGAACUCAGCAUAUAAUUAAAUCAAGAUGUGCAUGUGUGAUGGAGUAAAUGAUAGUGAUGGUGAAAAUGCAUAAGUGAUAAUAAUAAAAUUUAGUUAUCAUUGCUCCUUAUAUUGCUAUCUCUCCUCUUCUUUGAUCUUUGCUUUGGGAGAACAUGGGCUAUCUUUUUCUUCUUCUCUCUUUUUUUUAAGGUGGGUAGUAGAUACCCCUAAUUCUACUGUCGGACACUUGUCCAUUUUUUCCGCUCAAGUGGGCAUCUUUAUACCCCUAAUUUUACUCCGGACACUUGUCCAUUUUUACCUCUCGUCUCACUCUUUUUCUUUCUUUUUCGAGGUUCCGGGCACUUGCCCCUUUUUAUUUCCUCGUAUAUUUUUGCAUAACCCAUGCCUCUUCUGCAUUAAAUCUUUUUAGAGAGAGAAUAACAAUAUUCGGGACAGUGAGUGAUUAUAUUUUUAGCAAUUUUAAUGAUUGGUGAUGAAUGCUGUGGUAGAUGUGUGCAAGUGAAUAUCUUAAUUUAACCACAUGAAAAGCUCCUAAGGGUCUACACAGCUCGAUUAAACUCAAUGUGAAUAUAGUAAAAGAUGUUAUAGCAAGUAUGGCUGUGGUAGGUAGUUUUGUUAUGCUAGGAACUCAUCAUGUGAUUUGUAAGUUUUCAAAAUAAAUCUCCAGAACUUAGUGUAGUAGGGAUAAGAUAAACAGUAGCUCAACUUUAUAUCAUGUCU
Molecule: long non-coding RNA, 8374 nt
Filed under: Sorghum bicolor (sorghum)
Lineage: Eukaryota; Viridiplantae; Streptophyta; Magnoliopsida; Poales; Poaceae
Description: long non-coding RNA (SBIC_LNC008671)
Rfam family: Plant small nucleolar RNA R71 (bases 4896-5002)
Source: RNAcentral